This 427-nucleotide ribosomal RNA is filed under the name uncultured bacterium. RNAcentral's name for it is "partial 16S ribosomal RNA". It matches the Rfam family "Bacterial small subunit ribosomal RNA", at positions 355 to 774 of the family's 1533-position model. The record is from RNAcentral.
UGGGGAAUAUUGCACAAUGGGCGCAAGCCUGAUGCAGCCAUGCCGCGUGUAUGAAGAAGGCCUUCGGGUUGUAAAGUACUUUCAGCGAGGAGGAAGGCGUUGUGGUUAAUAACCGCAACGAUUGACGUUACUCGCAGAAGAAGCACCGGCUAACUCCGUGCCAGCAGCCGCGGUAAUACGGAGGGUGCAAGCGGUAAUCGGAAUUACUGGGCGUAAAGCGCACGCAGGCGGUCUGUCAAGUCGGAUGUGAAAUCCCCGGGCUCAACCUGGGAACUGCAUCCGAAACUGGCAGGCUAGAGUCUUGUAGAGGGGGGUAGAAUUCCAGGUGUAGCGGUGAAAUGCGUAGAGAUCUGGAGGAAUACCGGUGGCGAAGGCGGCCCCCUGGACAAAGACUGACGCUCAGGUGCGAAAGCGUGGGGAGCAAACA